Long non-coding RNA from Leptidea sinapis, 608 nucleotides. RefSeq lists it as uncharacterized. NCBI's taxonomy places the organism in Eukaryota, Metazoa, Arthropoda, Insecta, Lepidoptera, Pieridae. The record is from RefSeq and is a predicted model, not a curated record. The transcript has 3 exons.
UAUGUUACAAUGCUUGCGACACAUCCAUUGUUCGUUGUAAUCUUGUGUAUGGUUGUAUCAACCAUUAAAACAGAAACAUCUGAAGAAGUUCCCAACGCUGGCGAGAACCAAGAUUUAUCCAGUGAAGAACAAACGGCCACGCUUAAUUUUGAUGGAUUUGUUCCUGCAAAAGGAAAAGUUAUAAUCGCCAGAAAUUUUGGAUAUACACCAUUUUUCCCAAUAUAUCAUCGCAUUUGGCAACCCAAAAUUGUAUGCACUGUACCAAAUAUACACGAGGCUCCCUACAAAAACAAUGAUGAUGAAAUUGCAAGUAGCAGCAAUGAAGAUUGUGAUAAAAAUAAUAGUGUAGACACAGAUUUCAUCAUGGAAGGCAAUGAAAGCAACCACGAUGAUAAUGGUGGUAACGAACUAAAUAGCAACGUACAUAGUGGUGAAAAUAUGAACAUCGAUGUGUCUGGCAUGAUUUCAAUUAUCACAAAAACGCCUGAAGAUUUCGAUGGUAGCUCAACUGACGGUAGUGCAGAAAGUGAUGAAUAUACUAAGAUCGAUAAAGAUGCUACAGUGCCAGCCAAUAUUAUAUUUUCCGGUGAAGUGCCAGCGUAUGGCAG